Molecule: ribosomal RNA, 253 nt
Filed under: uncultured bacterium
Lineage: Bacteria
Description: partial 16S ribosomal RNA
Rfam family: Bacterial small subunit ribosomal RNA
Source: RNAcentral
UACAGAGGGGGCGAGCGUUAUUCGGAAUUAUUGGGCGUAAAGGGCGCGUAGGCGGCUUUUCAAGUGACGGGUGAAAUCCCUCGGCUUAACCGGGGAACUGCCUGUCAGACUGGAAGGCUUGAGACCGGGAGAGGUGAGUGGAAUUCCCAGUGUAGCGGUGAAAUGCGUAGAUAUUGGGAGGAACACCAGUGGCGAAGGCGGCUCACUGGACCGGAACUGACGCUGAGGCGCGAAAGCGUGGGGAGCAAACAGG